RNAcentral lists this ribosomal RNA (499 nucleotides) under uncultured bacterium. RNAcentral describes it as "partial 16S ribosomal RNA". It matches the Rfam family "Bacterial small subunit ribosomal RNA", at positions 30 to 523 of the family's 1533-position model. The record is from RNAcentral.
AUUGAACGCUGGCGGCAUGCCUUACACAUGCAAGUCGAACGGCAGCACGGACUUCGGUCUGGUGGCGAGUGGCGAACGGGUGAGUAAUGUAUCGGAACGUACCAUUGAGUGGGGGAUAACUAUCCGAAAGGAUAGCUAAUACCGCAUAUUCUCUCCGGAGGAAAGCAGGGGACCGCAAGGCCCUGCGCUCAUUGAGCGGCCGAUAUCAGAUUAGCUAGUUGGUGAGGUAAAGGCUCACCAAGGGGACGAUCUGUAGCGGGUCUGAGGGGAUGGUCAGCCACACUGGAACGGAGACACGGUCAGACUCCUACGGGAGGCAGCAGUGGGGAAUUUUGGACAAUGGGGGCAACCCUGAUCCAGCCAUGCCGCGUGAGUGAAGAAGGCCUUCGGGUUGUAAAGCUCUUUCGGCCGGGAAGAAAUCGCAUGGGCUAAUACCCUGUGUGGAUGAUGGUACCGGAAUAAGAAGCACCGGCUAACUACGUGCCAGCCGCCGCCGUAA